This 232-nucleotide long non-coding RNA is filed under the name Homo sapiens (human). RNAcentral describes it as "HSALNT0394942". The record is from RNAcentral. Lineage: Eukaryota; Metazoa; Chordata; Mammalia; Primates; Hominidae.
CAAUGCAGAACGAAGAAGUCACAUCCGUCACUUUCAAGCCUAGGUGUAUGAGGUGUGGGGGAGGAAAGCACAGGCAUCCCUGAGAAGCCUGUUGGAGAAUCAGCAUCCUCAGGGGAGAUUCGAGUUUCAAUCGGAGCAAGAAGGAGUUUUUGUCAUUUAUUUGGGAUUUUCUACAUGGACAAGCAUGUCAUCUAUAAACAAAGAGACCUUUACCCUCACCUACUCCCUUUUA